Molecule: ribosomal RNA, 468 nt
Filed under: uncultured bacterium
Lineage: Bacteria
Description: partial 16S ribosomal RNA
Rfam family: Bacterial small subunit ribosomal RNA
Source: RNAcentral
GACGAACGCUGGCGGCGUGCUUAACACAUGCAAGUCGAACGGAAAGGCCCUGCUUUUGUGGGGUGCUCGAGUGGCGAACGGGUGAGUAACACGUGAGUAACCUGCCCUUGACUUUGGGAUAACUUCAGGAAACUGGGGCUAAUACCGGAUAGGAGCUCCUGCUGCAUGGUGGGGGUUGGAAAGUUUCGGCGGUUGGGGAUGGACUCGCGGCUUAUCAGCUUGUUGGUGGGGUAGUGGCUUACCAAGGCUUUGACGGGUAGCCGGCCUGAGAGGGUGACCGGCCACAUUGGGACUGAGAUACGGCCCAGACUCCUACGGGAGGCAGCAGUGGGGAAUAUUGCACAAUGGGCGGAAGCCUGAUGCAGCAACGCCGCGUGCGGGAUGACGGCCUACGGGUUGUAAACCGCUUUCGCCUGUGACGAAGCGUGAGUGACGGUAAUGGGUAAAGAAGCACCGGCUAACUGCGUG